ACCUUUGGGAAAUAUUGACAAGGUGAGAUUACAAAGGUGACAACCCUCGAUGACUUCACGGACACAAACGGGCGAGAUAAUGAAGAAUUCUUAACACUAAUUACCUUUAUGAAGAGUCGUAUCUGCAUUACCUUUGUGAAAUAUCGACCAGGUGAGAAUUAGAAAGGUGUGUAAUGAAAUUUGCAAAAGGUGAUGACUUAAUUACAUAACGGAGCGAGAUAACCAAGAAUUCUUACCUUAUGCUGCCCUUCACAUUGUUACUCACAUUACCUUAGUGAAAUGUUGACCAGGUGAGAAUUAGAAAGGUGUGUAAUGAAAUUUGCAAAAGGUGAUGACUUAAUUACUUGACGGACAUAACGGAGCGAGAUAACCGAGAAUUCUUAACUUAUGCUGCCCUUCACAUCAUUACUCGCAUUACCUUAGUGAAAUGUUGACCAGGUGAGAAUUAGAAAGGUGUGUUAUAACAAUUUGCAAAAGGUAUUAAUUAGACAACCCUUGACUUCAUGGACACAAACGGGCUAGAUAACGAAGAAUACUUAACUUUAAAUACCUUUAUGAAGAGUCAUAUCUGCGUUACCUUUGUGAUAUAUUGACCAGGUGAGAAUUACAAAGGUGUGUUAUAACAAUUUGCAAAAGGUAUUAAUUAGACAACCCUUGAGGGCAUAAUCGGGCGAGAUACCGAAGAAUUCUUAACACUAAUUACCUUUAUGAAGAGUCGUAUCUGCGUUUGACCAGGUGAGAAUUAGAAAGGUGUGUCUUAACAAUUUGUAACAGGUGACGACUUAGUAACGUUACGACAACUCUUCAUUGCUUUACGGGCAUAACGGCGCAAGAUAACCAAGAAUUCUUAACUUAUACUGACCUUUAAACCUUGAAUUACCUUUGUGAAAUAUUUGGUUGGUGAGAAUGACAAAGGUGUGCUAUGCAAUUUACAAAAGGUAACAGCUCUUCAUUGCUUUACGGACACAACGCCGCAAGAUAACCAAGAAUUCUUAACUUAUACUGAGCUUUACACCUUGAAUUACCUUUGUGAAAUAUUUGGUUGGUGUGUAAUAACAAUUUGCAAAGGUGACAACUUUCCAUUACGCACUUAAAAGAUAAUACCAAGAGGAAAACAAUUCAAUUACCUUUAUAAAGACUCCUAUCUCUCCAUUGCCUCUGUGAAUUAUGUAGCAAGGGAGAAUGACAAAGGUGUGUUUUAACAGUUUCCGAAGUGACAGCCCUUAACCCCUCUGCUGCGAUUGGCAUGGAUUUGGCCUUCACUAAAGAUGCGAUAUUUCUUUCAUUUUUAUUCAUUUAUUUGUGUCUGCUAUUUGUACUUAUAGUUUGUCUUGCAGUUUACUUCUUUUUACUGAUUUUAUGUGUGCUUUUUUGUAUCAUUUUAUUUGAUUCCUCCUACUGCUUGUCUUUAUUACUCCUGAGGCCAUAUUUCUCUCUUUACUCAUUCACUUGUGUCCGCUAACCUUAUCACCAUUCCUGCUUAACCCGUCCGCUGUGAUUGGCAAGGAUUUGGCGUUCACUGGUAGCCUGGUAACAUACACUCCCAGGUCUUCCUCUGCCUCUGUGGUGGAUAGUGGAGUGUUUCCCAUGUGGUAUUGGUAUGCUGGAUAUCCCUUCACUGGUAGCCUGGUAACAUACACUCCCAGGUCUUUCUCUGCCUCUGUGGUGGAUAGUGGAGUGUUUCCCAUGUGGUAUUGGUAUGCUGGAUAUCCCUUCACUGGUAGCCUGGUAACAUACACUCCCAGGUCUUUCUCUGCCUCUGUGGUGGAUAGUGGAGUGUUUCCCAUGUGGUAUUGGUGUGCUGGAUAUCCCCUCCCAAGGUGCAGGACUACAUUUUUCUUCAUUGAAUUGUAGCAGCCACUUUUUGUUCCACUCCUGUAGCUUGGUGGUGUCUUCUUGUAGAAAAUCUGCAGUCAAGGGGGUAAUUCACAGACACAAAAAGGAAGAUCAAGCUUUUUCAACGUUCACUGUUCUUUCGUGAACCCUGAAAGAAUGAUGGACACUGUGAUUUCUGUAUUGCUUGGGGUUUGAAUGACGAGCACCUCCCUUCUCCUUCAUUUCUUUCCUUUUGCGACAACAAUUAACUACAUAAUUAAAGCUUUUUUCACACACAAAUGCUCUAAAAAAAAUCUAUUUCCCUUGUUUUUUUUUUUUGUUUUUUUGCAACAA
This is a long non-coding RNA of Eriocheir sinensis (Chinese mitten crab), 2169 nucleotides long. RefSeq lists it as uncharacterized. The record is from RefSeq and is a predicted model, not a curated record. The transcript has 3 exons. NCBI's taxonomy places the organism in Eukaryota, Metazoa, Arthropoda, Malacostraca, Decapoda, Varunidae.